CGCUCCGCUUUGGUCCACUUCUGCCUUCUUCUUCCGACAAGAGUCGUGACAUCAGCUCUCUCCCUGUCUUAUCUCUCAGUUGGUUUAUCUAGUCUGUGUCAGGAUGUCACUCAUAUUACUGUUGCUCCUCUCAGCGUUUGUAGGUGAUAGUAUGGAGCAGGAAACAAUAACUCCAGUGAAAC
This is a long non-coding RNA of Oncorhynchus tshawytscha (Chinook salmon), 182 nucleotides long. RefSeq lists it as uncharacterized. The record is from RefSeq and is a predicted model, not a curated record. The transcript has 2 exons. Lineage: Eukaryota; Metazoa; Chordata; Actinopteri; Salmoniformes; Salmonidae.